RNAcentral lists this ribosomal RNA (464 nucleotides) under Vreelandella stevensii. RNAcentral's name for it is "partial 16S ribosomal RNA". It matches the Rfam family "Bacterial small subunit ribosomal RNA", at positions 338 to 795 of the family's 1533-position model. The record is from RNAcentral. Lineage: Bacteria; Pseudomonadati; Pseudomonadota; Gammaproteobacteria; Oceanospirillales; Halomonadaceae.
CCUACGGGAGGCUGCAGUGGGGAAUAUUGGACAAUGGGGGCAACCCUGAUCCAGCCAUGCCGCGUGUGUGAAGAAGGCCCUCGGGUUGUAAAGCACUUUCAGUGAGGAAGAACGCCUGGUGGUUAAUACCCAUCAGGAAAGACAUCACUCACAGAAGAAGCACCGGCUAACUCCGUGCCAGCAGCCGCGGUAAUACGGAGGGUGCGAGCGUUAAUCGGAAUUACUGGGCGUAAAGCGCGCGUAGGUGGCUUGAUAAGCCGGUUGUGAAAGCCCGGGCUCAACCUGGGAACGGCAUCCGGAACUGUCAAGCUAGAGUGCAGGAGAGGAAGGUAGAAUUCCCGGUGUAGCGGUGAAAUGCGUAGAGAUCGGGAGGAAUACCAGUGGCGAAGGCGGCCUUCUGGACUGACACUGACACUGAGGUGCGAAAGCGUGGGUAGCAAACAGGAUUAGAUACCCCGGUAGUC